Molecule: long non-coding RNA, 573 nt
Filed under: Heterocephalus glaber (naked mole-rat)
Lineage: Eukaryota; Metazoa; Chordata; Mammalia; Rodentia; Bathyergidae
Description: lncRNA (ENSHGLG00100028409.2)
Source: RNAcentral
AGCACUCGAGUGGUCCCGUUAUGGAGUUGUGUCGUGCCUGGCGAGUGUGCAGGAGCACGCUUACUUGCAAGGUCCGUUAUGGUUUCUAUGUGAAGGGCCCCCCCGAACAUGCAGGCAUUGAGGGCUCGCUCCCCAGUGCAGCCAUCUUCAGCAGUGGGCCCCAGGGAGGUGACUGGAUCAUGAGGGGCUGACCUCGCCAGUGGACUGAUCCACAGAAGAGGGUAAGCCACGGGGGCAUGACCUUGGGGACAGCAUCUUGACCCUGCCCCUUCCUCUCUAUGCUCUUUCACCAUCUUUGCAUCCAGCUGCUAUGAGGUGAGCAGUUUUGUCCCACCACACCCUUCUGCUAUGAUGCUCUGCCUCACCUCAGACCCGCAGCAAUGGAACAGGCCACCCAUGAACUAAAACCUCUGAAACCAUGAGCCAAAGUAAACUUUUCCUUCUUUAAGUUGUUUUUUUUCAGAUAAGAGGAAGAAAUGAAAUAAGCAAGCCCAGUUGAUUCUUCCCAAAUUUACCCAUCUGAUAAGCAGCCCCAUCAAUAUGCCAGGGGUGAAGUAAAUAGAGAGAUCUGGG